This 253-nucleotide ribosomal RNA is filed under the name uncultured bacterium. RNAcentral's name for it is "partial 16S ribosomal RNA". It matches the Rfam family "Bacterial small subunit ribosomal RNA", at positions 524 to 776 of the family's 1533-position model. The record is from RNAcentral.
UACGAAGGGGGCUAGCGUUGCUCGGAAUCACUGGGCGUAAAGCGCACGUAGGCGGCUUUUUAAGUCAGGGGUGAGAUCCUGGAGCUCAACUCCAGAACUGCCUUUGAUACUGAGAAGCUUGAGUCCGGGAGAGGUGAGUGGAACUGCGAGUGUAGAGGUGAAAUUCGUAGAUAUUCGCAAGAACACCAGUGGCGAAGGCGGCUCACUGGCCCGGUACUGACGCUGAGGUGCGAAAGCGUGGGGAGCAAACAGG